RNAcentral lists this ribosomal RNA (468 nucleotides) under uncultured bacterium. RNAcentral describes it as "partial 16S ribosomal RNA". It matches the Rfam family "Bacterial small subunit ribosomal RNA", at positions 28 to 507 of the family's 1533-position model. The record is from RNAcentral.
GACGAACGCUGGCGGCGUGCUUAACACAUGCAAGUCGAACGGAAAGGCCCUGCUUUUGUGGGGUGCUCGAGUGGCGAACGGGUGAGUAACACGUGAGUAACCUGCCCUUGACUUUGGGAUAACUUCAGGAAACUGGGGCUAAUACCGGAUAGGAGCUCCUGCUGCAUGGUGGGGGUUGGAAAGUUUCGGCGGUUGGGGAUGGACUCGCGGCUUAUCAGCUUGUUGGUGGGGUAGUGGCUUACCAAGGCUUUGACGGGUAGCCGGCCUGAGAGGGUGACCGGCCACAUUGGGACUGAGAUACGGCCCAGACUCCUACGGGAGGCAGCAGUGGGGAAUAUUGCACAAUAGGCGGGAGCCAGAUGCAGCAGCGCCGCGUGCGGGAUGACGGCCUUCGGGUUGUAAACCGCUUUCGCCUGUGACGAAGCGUGAGUGACGGUAAUGGGUAAAGAAGCACCGGCUAACUACGUG